Molecule: long non-coding RNA, 1010 nt
Organism: Vitis vinifera (wine grape)
Lineage: Eukaryota; Viridiplantae; Streptophyta; Magnoliopsida; Vitales; Vitaceae
Exons: 2
Source: RefSeq, a predicted model, not a curated record
CAACCACACAGAACUUUCCUUUUGGUGCAACAAACAAGAAAAAGAGGAAAACAAAGAAGCGCAAUUUCUUGGAAUAGUUUUGUGGGAUUGAGGGCAUAUGCACGUACAAAUGGGUGAGUAAGAAGGCCUUUUUGUCUAGAGGUAGUUUGCCAAACACAGCCUCAGCCAGUUGUGUGUGAAAAGCAUGAUAGUGAGGGCGUAGAAAGUGGGACUCUCUUAUGUCAUUCGACCCCCAAAAAGGAACUCUCCCCUUCCUCACGUAUAUAAGGGCCCCAUGAAAAACAAUGCAUGGCCAUAUCAAAAUCAAACAGUUUCUCUCUCUCUUCCUCUCUCUCUCUCUCUCUCUCCCUCUCUCUCUCUGUGAGUGAACAGUUGAGGGGAACGCUGUCUGGUUCGAGACCACUCGCUUCAAGUACAGACAUAAUCUGAAUGAUCUCGGACCAGGCUUCAUUCCCCCCAACUCAACAGUCUUCUAUCUCUAUAUGCAGUAAGCCCCAUUCUGUUGGCAAACCUUCAUGCUUUUCAUUGAUCAAUGGCUCAACUUCUCAACCUUCCCAUGUCUGAUCUUUCCUUCCUCAAUUGGGUUUUUAUUCCUUUUUCUCCUAAGAACUCCAAUCCAAAGUUCCCGACGAACAUAUGCUCAUACUGAGCUAAGGGAGGAGGCAAUCUGCAGCGAUUUGAGCAGAAGAGUUUAUACCCCCCAAAAGGCAACCUGAAAAACCUUGAUCACAGAGGAUAUAUUCCAUGAGAAUUUGUCCAUCAACAGAUUUAAACUGAGUUCUAAUUUCAAGCAGAUUAAGAAAAAACUAUUGGUGUAAUGUAAUUUUUUCUUGUCGGUUGUUACUGGGUGCUUUAUCAUGCAAGUUGCUUAAGAAUAUUGACUGUAGAACAAAUUUGUUAUGAAAAGCUAAAUAGGACUGUUUCAAAAGAGUAUCUGGUGGAAGUUAUUUUCAUCAAGCUUCACUUUUUGGUCAGAGAAAAACCCCAUUAAAAAUAAUUUUUUUCCUGAA